GCAGGAGGACGGGGGCCCCAGUGCUGUCCCCUCUCAGCUUCUCGGCCCUCCCACCUUGCAAAAGGAAUCAGAUGCAAGGGCCUGAAUCAGGACCCAUCCGACGUUAGCUGGUCAUGUGGCCUCAAACCAGCCCCUGUGCUCUCCAGGAAAUGGGGGAUCCCCAUCUCCCCCACGCCCUCAUCAGUAACAGAUGCAUCUGCUCAAGAGUGGAGGUGGGAGGCAGGCAUGGCUUCCCCAGAAUUGCGGGGGGCUCCAUGUCUGCCCCCCAAGCCCUGACAGUCCAGGCACCUUCCUGCUGACGCCCUUUACAGUGCCCCAAAACCACAAAAGUUCACCCCUCUGAUGUUUGGAACUCGUGUAUUUCAUUUAGCUUCAAAAUGUAAAGAUCCCCUCUUUUUGGUCCUCAUGGUAUUUGAUGUGCGUUUACCGAAGCCUGCAUCUCAGGUGUGAUACCUGCAUCACGGCUGGACCCAGAGACCACGGGUCCUAGUCCUCCUGGCUUCCCAGAGGCAGGGCCGUGAUGGGAGUGAGUGAGCAGCGGUGGGUUCACAAGCGAGAGCAGGGGGCACAGCUUCCACCCGUCCUAGCCAGGGUGAGACCACCCUGCCUGCUGGUGGAGCCAGGCAGGCCCAGAGCCCACCUGGAAGAUGGAGGCUGCACGGCACUGCGUGGUCCGGGGCAGCCCCAGGGCAGCAGAGCAUUCCCUGGCCUUCCCUGCUGGUGCCAGCUCCUUACCACAGAGACG
RNAcentral lists this long non-coding RNA (745 nucleotides) under Homo sapiens (human). Its description in RNAcentral is "HSALNT0117685". Lineage: Eukaryota; Metazoa; Chordata; Mammalia; Primates; Hominidae. The record is from RNAcentral.